AUCCCCUGCAGGUAAAAUGAGAAUUGCAGCUUCCCCUGGCAGGUGUUUUAGUGACACAAUUUUUGGAUAAAAUAGGAAGUAGAGUUUGUUUCAGAGCCUUGAAAAUAAUUGCAUCUUAAAAGAAGAGAAUUGCAACUAAGGCUUUUAAGGAACUCAAGUCAGACCACAUCUUUAAUAAAUUAAAUCAACUGCAGAGCUCCUGAACUAAUUGUUUUAAAUGCAUCCUCUCUGCUUUAUUUGGAGGCUCUGGACUCUGGGCCCCACCAAUGUCUGUCACAGAUUCUUUGCUUGCUGGCACUGCAGCCCAGGAAGAGGUGGAGACAGACAGAUGGUCUUGGAUCAACUUAAACACCACAAAAAUUAAUAAUGUGCUCCUACAUUUCCUGAGAUAUAAGAAAGGAAGACGACCAAGAUGCUCAACAGUGCCACAUCAUACUCCCCAAAUCUUGCUGAAGCAGGAACUGGCAAAUGCAGCUUAAUGAAUCAAGUGUCAUCAGGAAAAAUGAACAUGUCUGUCACAGAACUUUAUGCCCACAAUAUUUCCAGCUUCAAGCCACUGCAAAGAAAAGGAGGAUGGCUAGCUCCAAAGCAGUAUGAAUGUCUCAAGUCCGUCAGAGAUGGAGGACGAAGCUGUCAUCGGGACAUCCUAUGAACUCUUUCCUGUUAAAAGGCCUCUCCCCCAGUUCUAGAUGUUAACCCUGUUUUCAGGAAUACAUUAUGACUAAAUAAUAUCAGCACACAAAAGGCAUUAUUUCCAGGAACUUUCUUUUCUUUUUAUG
Molecule: long non-coding RNA, 779 nt
Filed under: Parus major (Great Tit)
Lineage: Eukaryota; Metazoa; Chordata; Aves; Passeriformes; Paridae
Description: lncRNA (ENSPMJG00000013189.1)
Source: RNAcentral